CUAAAACUAAUUGACAAUAGGUGG
Molecule: non-coding RNA, 24 nt
Filed under: Arabidopsis thaliana (thale cress)
Lineage: Eukaryota; Viridiplantae; Streptophyta; Magnoliopsida; Brassicales; Brassicaceae
Source: RNAcentral